Long non-coding RNA from Nematostella vectensis (starlet sea anemone), 574 nucleotides. RefSeq lists it as uncharacterized. NCBI's taxonomy places the organism in Eukaryota, Metazoa, Cnidaria, Anthozoa, Actiniaria, Edwardsiidae. The transcript has 2 exons. The record is from RefSeq and is a predicted model, not a curated record.
GCUUAACGAUAGAAGGGGGCAAAUUAAAAACGAAAAUAGAAAUGCCAUAUCGCGUAUCGAUAUGCAAGACUUUUAAGUGCAAGUGCAGCCUUUAAAGUGCAGCUUUAUAAAAGACGCCAAGGUAUCACAACCAAGGGUUAACAACCUAUACUCAAGAAAAGGAGGCGCAAAAUGCUUUCUUGAAUCAUCCGGGUCCGCUUGCCACAAUAAACACGCCUUUCUGCGUGCGCAGCUCUCAUCCCACCAGGAGUCUGCGGGGGGCGCAAGUAAAACGCCAAACACUCACACAAGCCACUGGUCGUUAGUAGCGUCUCUUGGUAAAAACGCGGCGCGAAAUGGCGCUGUCACUUUUAAAAACGCUUACGAAUAAAAACAAUGUCAAAAAUCUAUCGCUAGUAAAUCUGGCUUAGGUACAUCCAAUGAUAGUGCACGUUGCAUGUAAAUAUUGGAUGACUUGUUAUAAUAAAGUGGAUGACUUGUAUAAUAAAGUGAGGGACUUGUUUUCAUGUAACACAGUAUAAACGAGAUUUUGCAAACCAUCAAAAACCAAUAAAUAACGGAGCUAUGUUAAGCU